This 199-nucleotide ribosomal RNA is filed under the name uncultured bacterium. Its description in RNAcentral is "partial 16S ribosomal RNA". It matches the Rfam family "Bacterial small subunit ribosomal RNA", at positions 328 to 539 of the family's 1533-position model. The record is from RNAcentral.
ACGCUCGACACCUACGGAGGCAGCAGUGGGGAAUAUUGCACAAUGGGGGAAACCCGUGAUGCAGCAACGCCGCGUGAAGGAAGACGGUUUUCGGAUUGUAAACUUCUGUUCUUAGUGAAGAUAGUGACGGUAGCUAAGGAGCAAGCCACGGCUAACUACGUGCCAGCAGCCGGCGGUAAUCUGAGCGGGCUGGCAAGGC